CCACCCUAAUGAUGGUGGCAUAUUUUAUUAGACGUUAGACUUGUGAAGCCCAAAGGAAGAGAAACGUAUAGUAUCUGAGU
Molecule: small nuclear RNA, 80 nt
Filed under: Eremothecium gossypii ATCC 10895
Lineage: Eukaryota; Fungi; Ascomycota; Saccharomycetes; Saccharomycetales; Saccharomycetaceae
Also listed under: 1 other name
Description: AgSNR58 (AGOS_AgSNR58F2)
Source: RNAcentral